CCCUGCCUUUUCGGAUCACAUCCAUCGCUUGGCUUAAAACAGGAUCUUUUCUUAAUUCCUCAUUUAUGCCACUAUCAUCAGAAUCUUAAAGCUACUACUAGAUUUCCUUGCACUUGAAGGCAGGGGUAGCCUGGACAAUGCAUUUGCUUUUGUGUUUUGUUCUGAUUGCCUGUAUUUUAUAUUUUACAUUUUAUUGUGCGAGUGCUACAAGAGGAGUAGAGCCCACUCUGAAGCUGACUGGCUGCCGUUGGGAAGUCCUAGUGUACAAGCCAAAGUUUGAUGUGAAAGGACAAUAAUUUGUUAGCAGAACAUGUGCCACCUUUAAAACUGAAUUGGUGAUCAAGCCACUACCCAAGGCAUCGGGACCAUACAUGGAGAGAUAAGUAAAACCUCAUACAUCAUUUGAUGAGAUUAUAUGGGAGUCAAGAACACGUGACAUGGUCUUGGGACACCGAUGUUUUAAGGGCCUUCAGCAGGAACAGGAUCCUCAACUCCAGGACAGGAGUCAGAAUAGAUUAAGUUGCGUGUAUAUAAAUGCGACACGGUUGCACUUCAACUGUAAUUAAGGAUAUUAUUGCUAUUAGCGUAAGCAUGGAAAACUAAUCUUCUGUGGGCUCCCCUCAAUUUUGAGAUCAUUGGAGGAAGACAAGCACGUGGCAUGACUCGCUGAUUUCACCAUGGCCAUAAUCGAAUGUCAGACGUUCUUCAGGAUCUCUAUAGAGAAACUGCCAGCUCCCUCAGAAGUGCCCUUCUUGAUCUCUGAGGAUAAGCAUCAGCAAGUCUACCUCUUGCACACCCCACCAAUUUAGGUACUGACACCCCAACAGUCCACAUAGAAAGAAGAGAUAUACAAUCUGGUGAGAACCUCAGAGCAACUGCUGUGCCCAGGCAGUCAUCAUUCAGAGGAUGUUGGAAACCAGGCACCUGUUCAGUGCCAGGUAGGAGAGGAUCCGGAGGUAUUGAUAAUUCACAUGCACAGGGAAGAACAGGCGCAGCGGACUGACAUCUGAGAGGCAAUGGCCCUUGUUGCCAAGUAGCUGCAACAGUAAAGUGAAUCAUGCAACUGUCUGGCUGCUCAAUCCAGCUGCCUAUCCUCACAAGGAGACUGGGCAGUGGCAGGAGGCUCCGAGCCAGUGAUGGAACCAUGCACAUCUGGACAAGACUCUGUAUUUUUCAUUUAGGACACAACAAUGGCAGCUGGAGCCAUACAACAACAAUUGAACCUGCCUGCUCACUCCCAAUCCUUGGAAGUUCAAGCCAAGAAGGGUCAACUUAUCUCUGGUAAGAAAACCCUUGGCAUAUCUUGUUUACCUCGACAUAUGCAUCUACGGGAUCAUGGAAUCAGAGGGUCACGCAACACAGAAAAAGACACUUC
Molecule: non-coding RNA, 1375 nt
Organism: Chiloscyllium plagiosum (whitespotted bambooshark)
Lineage: Eukaryota; Metazoa; Chordata; Chondrichthyes; Orectolobiformes; Hemiscylliidae
Source: RefSeq, a predicted model, not a curated record